GACGGAAGACUACUGAGAGAGAAGAAGAAUAGUUAGAAACUCAGGAUAAAUGAUGAAUAAAAUGAGUGCCUGAUCUCAAGAAGUCUAGCAGUCUAUGAGAGAUGGGCAUGAAAAUCUUCUAUUUUUAUAGAUGAGAAAACUGAGGCUUGGGGAAGUUCCACCAUAACCAUGAGAUUUGAGAAGUGCCAUGAGUGAAUAAAGAAGACCAUGCCAGAGAGCCUGUUCAAAGAAAGAAAAAGGAAUUUCAACUUCCUAGACCAGAGUAAAUGAUGUGAGGAGAGAAGAUGACAUGGAACCUGCAGCCCUAGUGAAGGUCAAGAAUUUCCCCAGAGAAGAGACAGUGGAGCAUCAUUAAGCUGUAUUAAUGAGAG
This 371-nucleotide long non-coding RNA is filed under the name Equus caballus (horse). RNAcentral describes it as "lncRNA (ENSECAG00000050932.1)". Lineage: Eukaryota; Metazoa; Chordata; Mammalia; Perissodactyla; Equidae. The record is from RNAcentral.